CAGGGAUUGCCCCAGUAGCGGCGAGUGAAGCGGCAAGAGCUCAGAUUUGAAAUCGUGUUUCGGCACGAGUUGUAGAGUGUAGGCGGGAGUCUCUGUGGAGCGCGGUGUCCAAGUCCCUUGGAACAGGGUGCCUGAGAGGGUGAGAGCCCCGUAGGGUGCUGCGCGAAGCUUUUGAGGCCCUGCUGACGAGUCGAGUUGUUUGGGAAUGCAGCUCCAAGCGGGUGGUAAAUUCCAUCUAAGGCUAAAUAUUGGCGAGAGACCGAUAGCGAACAAGUACUGUGAAGGAAAGAUGAAAAGCACUUUGAAAAGAGAGUGAAACAGCACGUGAAAUUGUUGAAAGGGAAGGGUAUUGGGCUCGACAUGGGGGGUGCGCACCGCUGUCUCUUGUAGGCGGCGCUCUGGGCGCCCUCUGGGCCAGCAUCGGUUCCUGCUGCGGGAGAAGGGGCUCCGGAAAGUGGCUCUUCGAGUGUUAUAGCCGGGGCCAGAUGCCGCGUGUGGGGACCGAGGACUGCGGCUUCUGUCUCGGAUGCUGGCAUAACGGCGCAAUACCGC
RNAcentral lists this ribosomal RNA (552 nucleotides) under Pichia manshurica. Its description in RNAcentral is "eukaryotic LSU rRNA". It matches the Rfam family "Eukaryotic large subunit ribosomal RNA", at positions 69 to 648 of the family's 3401-position model. The record is from RNAcentral. Lineage: Eukaryota; Fungi; Ascomycota; Pichiomycetes; Pichiales; Pichiaceae.